This 449-nucleotide ribosomal RNA is filed under the name uncultured Streptococcus sp. Its description in RNAcentral is "bacterial SSU rRNA". It matches the Rfam family "Bacterial small subunit ribosomal RNA", at positions 933 to 1382 of the family's 1533-position model. The record is from RNAcentral. Lineage: Bacteria; Bacillati; Bacillota; Bacilli; Lactobacillales; Streptococcaceae.
UGGAGCAUGUUGGUUUAAUUCGAAGCAACGCGAAGAGCCUUACCAGGUCUUGACAUCCCGAUGCUAUUUCUAGAGAUAGAAAGUUACUUCGGUACAUCGGUGACAGGUGGUGCAUGGUUGUCGUCAGCUCGUGUCGUGAGAUGUUGGGUUAAGUCCCGCAACGAGCGCAACCCCUAUUGUUAGUUGCCAUCAUUCAGUUGGGCACUCUAGCGAGACUGCCGGUAAUAAACCGGAGGAAGGUGGGGAUGACGUCAAAUCAUCAUGCCCCUUAUGACCUGGGCUACACACGUGCUACAAUGGUUGGUACAACGAGUUGCGAGUCGGUGACGGCGAGCUAAUCUCUUAAAGCCAAUCUCAGUUCGGAUUGUAGGCUGCAACUCGCCUACAUGAAGUCGGAAUCGCUAGUAAUCGCGGAUCAGCACGCCGCGGUGAAUACGUUCCCGGGCCUU